GCCAGUGUGGCUCAGUGGAUAGAGCGUCAGCCUGCAGACUGAAGAGUCGCAGGUUCGAUUCCUGGUUAAGGGCA
Molecule: transfer RNA, 74 nt
Filed under: Myotis lucifugus (little brown bat)
Lineage: Eukaryota; Metazoa; Chordata; Mammalia; Chiroptera; Vespertilionidae
Rfam family: tRNA
About the family: Transfer RNA (tRNA) molecules are approximately 80 nucleotides in length. Their secondary structure includes four short double-helical elements and three loops (D, anti-codon, and T loops). Further hydrogen bonds mediate the characteristic L-shaped molecular structure. tRNAs have two regions of fundamental functional importance: the anti-codon, which is responsible for specific mRNA codon recognition, and the 3' end, to which the tRNAs corresponding amino acid is attached (by aminoacyl-tRNA synthetases). tRNAs cope with the degeneracy of the genetic code in two manners: having more than one tRNA (with a specific anti-codon) for a particular amino acid; and 'wobble' base-pairing, i.e. permitting non-standard base-pairing at the 3rd anti-codon position.
Source: Rfam by way of RNAcentral